Molecule: ribosomal RNA, 497 nt
Filed under: uncultured bacterium
Lineage: Bacteria
Description: partial 16S ribosomal RNA
Rfam family: Bacterial small subunit ribosomal RNA
Source: RNAcentral
GAUGAACGCUGGCGGCGUGCCUAAUACAUGCAAGUCGAGCGAGCAGACGAGGAGCUUGCUCCUCUGACGUUAGCGGCGGACGGGUGGGUAACACGUGGAUAACCUACCUAUAAGACUGGGAUAACUUCGGGAAACCGGAGCUAAUACCGUAUAACAUGUUGAACCGCAUGGUUCAACAGUGAAAGACGGUCUUGCUGUCACUUAUAGAUGGAUCCGCGCCGCAUUAGCUAGUUGGUAAGGUAACGGCUUACCAAGGCAACGAUGCGUAGCCGACCUGAGAGGGUGAUCGGCCACACUGGAACUGAGACACGGUCCAGACUCCUACGGGAGGCAGCAGUAGGGAAUCUUCCGCAAUGGGCGAAAGCCUGACGGAGCAACGCCGCGUGAGUGAAGAAGGUCUUCGGAUCGUAAAACUCUGUUAUUAGGGAAGAACAAAUGUGUAAGUAACUAUGCACGUCUUGACGGUACCUAAUCAGAAAGCCACGGCUAACUACGUG